Molecule: ribosomal RNA, 95 nt
Filed under: Staphylococcus haemolyticus
Lineage: Bacteria; Bacillati; Bacillota; Bacilli; Caryophanales; Staphylococcaceae
Also listed under: 1 other name
Description: partial 23S ribosomal RNA
Rfam family: Bacterial large subunit ribosomal RNA
Source: RNAcentral
AGAUUAAGUUAUUAAGGGCGCACGGUGGAUGCCUUGGCACUAGAAGCCGACGAAGGACGUUACUAACGACGAUAUGCUUUGGGUAGCUGUAAGUA